GGGAUCAAACCGAGAUCUCCCGCAUUGCAAGUGGAUUCUUUAUCGGCUGAGCCACAAAGGGAAGCCCUUAAAGAUAAAAGCUCAACAAAAAUCUCUUUGUUCAGCCACAUUCAAUGGUUUACAUGCCUUUAUCUUUCUUUAGAAAUCUAUGUAGGCCAACACUUUCUAAGCUAAGACUCAUAAUCUACAACUCACAUCUUACCUAAUAGCAAAAUUUCAUGAACAAUAGCUGUUCCUAAUGAACUGCCCUUGUUCUUUCAUAUACUUACUCUAUUUAUAAAAAAUGAACUUAACCAACAUGCCAAGAAUUUUUCAAGGACACGUGUGUGCUUAUAUCAUGAAGCCAGAUCCCUUCGACUUUGCCCAACCAUUCGAGCUGUCUUUGAUCCUAGGAUACGACUUCCAGAAUCCUAUAACCUCUUUAGUGCUUCACUACAUGCAUCAAUAUGAAACGUGUAACAAUUUUACGAUGAUUCUUGUUAAACAGAAGCCUUUUCUACGUUAGCUCAUAAAAGUUAAUUCCCUAUUUCCUCUUCCCAAAGAAUAAAUGAUCUUUGCCCUCCUGUGGAUAAUUGGAUCAUGAAGGUAGAUGUGUUUGUGGCCCUGGUGUUCCCUGAGAAGUUUUAUUUAUCUGUGGAUUUUAUCUGAAGAAAGGCAGUCAGAGGAUGUUCUUUAGAGGCCAAGCACACUCUUGUGUCACAGAAGAUAUCUUCUCAUCUGUCCUGUGAGGAUUUUCAUUCUCCUUCUUGUAAAUGGUGACUGCAGCCAUGAAAUUAAAAGACACUUACUCCUCAGAAGAAAAGUUAUGACCAAUCUAGACAGCAUAUUAAAAAGCAGAGACAUUAUUUUGCCAACAAAGGUCCGUCUAGUCAAAGUUAUGGUUUUUGCAGUGGUCAUGUAUGGAUGUGAGAGUUAGACUGUGAAGAAAACUGAGCGCCAAAGAAUUGAUGCCUUUGAACUGUGGUGUUGGAGAAGACUCUUAAGAGUCCCUGGGACUGCAAGGAGAUCCAACCAGUCCAUCCCAAAGGAAAUCAGUCUUGAAUAUUCCUUGGAAAGACUGAUGCUGAAGCUGAAACUCCAAUACUCUGGCCACCUGAUGCGAAGAACUGACUCAUUUGAAAAGGCCCUGAUGCUGGGAAAGAUUGAAGGCACGAGGAGAAGGGGAUGACAGAGGAUGAGAUGGUUGGAUGGUAUCACUGACUCAAUGGACAUGAGUCUGAGUAAACUCUGGGAGUUGGUAAUGGAUGGGGAGACCUGGCGUGCUGCAGUCCAUGGGGUCGCAAAGAGUCAGACACAACUGAGAGACUAAACUGAACUGACUCUUGUAAAUGAACCAAGUUUUAGUUACAUCUUCUUUCUGCUGAGUUGAGUGUCUUGUGAGAAGAGAUGGAAACCACCAUGACUGUCAAGAUGUUGCUCUUUGCACAUUAUGACCCAGAGCACAAACGCUCACACAGCUUCACCAGCUUGUUCCAGUGUGAACGCUCAACUUGGGGUGCUGGUCCGGUCCUGUGCAUUCACAGCACACCCGGGGCUCACGUGUUCUAUAGCACAGGACCAACCCAGAAAGGAUACGCAGUAAGAAUUUACUGACACUGAAUCUGGAAGAUUUGACAUUCUCUGCCCUUCUUUCAGUCUGGAAUAAGGAGCAGUAGGCAUUUGCCAAUUUGAGUGGUCCUCCCUGAGACUGCUGAGUAGUUUGGCAUUGUGGGAAUUUGUUUCACACUAUUCUGAGUGUGCAAUCCAACCCUAAACCCUCUCACUACAGUUCCAUCCCAUUGCUAUUACUUGAAAUAAAGGGCAAGUGUGUAUGCGGGUGUGCUAAGUCAUUUCAGUUGUGUCCGACUCUGCAUGACCUCACUGACUGUAGCCCGCCAGGCUCCACUGUCCAUGGGAAUCUCCAGGCAAGAAUACUGGAGUGGAUUGUCACACCCUCCUCAAGAGGAUCUUCCUGACCCAGGGAUAGAACCCAUGUCUCUUACAUCUCCUGCAUUGGCAGGAGAGAUUCACAAGCUGCUAUGAAAGUGAUGGCUACAGGUGUCUAAAUCUGAUUGAGGAGAGAAUGUCUUGAAUGAGAAUUCCAGGCAAGUAGUUCAUUUGGGAGAUGGCUCCAGGAAGCCCUGAGCUGAGUGGACGGGAAAGGCAGCCAGUGCAGGAGAUUUAGCAGGCAAGCCACCAGAGCCUCAUUUCACUGGGGACGUCACGGAACAUGCAUCUCUGGGUUAUGCCCCCUCUCGCAUAGGAGUGAGGGAUUUGGGGUAUUUAUCCACCAACACCUGUCCAUUAUUAACUGUGGGCUGCUCCCAGGGGAUGUCAGGUCCCAGGAAGUCUAGUAGGCUGUGCACUCUGGGAGAGCAGGCUCCAGGGCCCCCAGAAGGGAAAUAAAGUGACAUGGGGGUGCUCUCCAAAGUCAGGCCAGUGUAAUAACCUACGAUUGUGGAAAUGACUGUAACAACAUGUGGAUUUUCCCCUUUAGACUAAUUUUUAUCAUUUGGAAAAUGCUAGGAGCUUCCCUGGUGGCUCAGAUGGAAAAUAAUUUGCCUGCAAUGUGGGAGACCUGGGUUUGAUUCCUGGGUUGGGAAGAUCCUCUGGAGAAGUGACAGAGACUUGGAUUAAACUGCAUGUUUUUAAAUGAAUGAAGAAGAAUUCCUUGGACUACAGGGAGAUUAAAAAUAGCUGAGCACUGAAGAAUUGAUGCUUUUGAACUGUGGUACUGGAGAAGACUCCUGAGAGUCCCUUGGACUGCAAGGAGAUCCACCCAGUCCAUCCUAAAGGAGAUCAGUCCUGAAUAUUCACUGGAAGGACUGAUGCUGAAGCUGAAGCUCCAGUACUUUAGCCACCUGAUGUGAAGAGCUGACUCAUUAGAAAAGACCCCAAUGUUGGGAAAGGUUGAAGACAGAAGGAGAAGGGGAUGACAGAAGACCAGAUGGUUGGAUGGCAUCACCGACUCAAUGGACAUGAGUUUGAGCAAGCACCAGGAGAUGGUGAAGGACAGAGAAACCUGGCGUGCUGCAGUCCAUGGGAUCCACGGAGAAUCAGACAAGACUGAGCAACUGAACAAAAAUUAAACUCAAAUCUUGCCCGUCAACAGCUGACUUUGAACCCACAUAUUAAGAAACUUCAAAAAAGUAUUGUUCUACAUAUAAAUCCCUCUUUUUAAAACUUUUGCAACUUUUGAUGAGAGUUUUCCCCCUUCUUAAAAAAGAAACUCACCUUUGUUGAGUAUUUACUCUCUACCAAAAGUUGCAACAUUUUCCAAGUGAGAAAAGAACAUGCUGUCAUGAUCUGAUCAGUGACACUGUUACUGCUAUUCAGGUGCUGCCAGGUUCCCGGCAUCAUGUGAACCCAUGACCCAAACAUACCAUCUGUGGGACACCACUUCACAUCCCUGACAUCUUGCCACAGUGAUUUUUUUUUUUUUUUUUACUGUUUUUACCAUAACAUUGUUGACUCCCAGGAAUGAUUUACUUGUUAUGAGAAUUUUCCAGUAAAUGGUAAUAAGACGCCACGAUCUAACAAAAUUAGAAUAUUACAACAAUUUUGACAAUGGAAGUAAAGAAAUUGUUUUUAACUUAAGGAAUUAUCAUAAUCAAAUGACAGUGUCAAUCUAGCACCUAAAAUAGCCAGUGACUCUAAACAAAGAUUAGGCAAGUAAUGAACUCACGGGUGAGGACUUGCACAUGUAAAAUUUUUUUUUAAAUCCUUAUUGUGAAUGGCACAGUGCCAGUAUAUAAUAUACUUUAUUGACAUUCAAAUCAUCUGUUGUUUUUUAAAGUACUAAGGUG
Molecule: long non-coding RNA, 3785 nt
Organism: Bos taurus (domestic cattle)
Lineage: Eukaryota; Metazoa; Chordata; Mammalia; Artiodactyla; Bovidae
Source: Ensembl